RNAcentral lists this long non-coding RNA (1041 nucleotides) under Homo sapiens (human). RNAcentral's name for it is "PCBP1 antisense RNA 1". Lineage: Eukaryota; Metazoa; Chordata; Mammalia; Primates; Hominidae. The record is from RNAcentral.
GGCGGCCGCCAUGUUUCCUGAACACAAAAUGGCGACACGUGGUUAGCAUUCGUCGCCAACGAGAAAUUGGGGUCGGCCCGAAAGCUCUAGAAUGCACCCCUCUUCCUCCCCGGGGCCUUCCACCUCCGCGAGUUUUAUGACUUAAAAAAGCCCACAGGCUGGUCUGAAGAGGAAGACAAACAUAAAGAUGAAGUGCUUAAUUCAAGGUCACACAAUGUCGGGGAUGGACCUCCAGAUUUCCUUACUGACCUGCAUUAUCUUGUGGAUACCUGAGUGAAUUCCACACCACCCAUUUUAUAGAUGAAACCACUGAGACAUGGAGCAAUUGACUGAGUAGUCACUGCCCCACCCCUGCCUGGAGCCUCACACAUGACUCGCCUCCUCUCAGUGACCACAGGUUGGUUGAGGGGUUUAACAAGGCUAAGAAGGUGAGACGUGGUCUUGUAACACAGUGGUUAAGAAUGUGACUUUGGAGCCAGCCUGCUAGGGGCUGAAUUCUGACUCAGCCAUUUACUAACUGUGUGACCUUAGGUCACAGAAUUUUCCACACUCCUUGACAGAGGUGCUUAACCCUUAUCCAUCAGCAUUCUCAGACAGCACCUCCGGUUAGGGACAGUAUCUGACCGUCCGACAUCCCUGCAGCCCCCAUGUGUCACACAGACUCAGCCUCAGGUAGAUGGUUUCCGUAGAUGGUGGCUUUCUUUGGACCCUUGACAUCAACCAGUUACUAUUUGCUCCUGCAACCACCGCUGUACUUUCUGUCUCUAUGAACUUGACUACUCUAGACACCUCAUGGGACCAGAUGUGCAGAGGUAAUGAAUACCAGGGAAUCAGGAAACCACUGGAUCAGUUCUUUGAGCCACAGAACAACACUCAUCCCAGCAGCUGGGAAGCUAUCUGCAAAAGUCCAUCUGCAGAAAGGGCUUCCUGGUCUUGCGUGUGGCUGGGCCAUUUCUCUGGAUGCAGGUUUUUCAUUAUACAGUCUUCUCAAAGAACCACCUGCUCUCAACACCUUCUCGGUGACUCCAUUUCCCCUCCUCU